Molecule: small RNA, 665 nt
Filed under: Pan troglodytes (chimpanzee)
Lineage: Eukaryota; Metazoa; Chordata; Mammalia; Primates; Hominidae
Description: processed transcript
Source: RNAcentral
GAGCUGUGCGAGCGUGGGGGGAGAGAGCUUGAUCCUGGAUAGUGUUUGUAUGAUGUGCACACGUCUCUGCAAAUGCUUGUUUGAAGAUUGGCUGUGCUGCAUUUUGGUAUAAUUGGGAGGUGACAUAUUGUCCCUCAUCUCAGUAAACAUUUGGAGGAAGAGGACGAGAAAGAUUGAAUUUUGCAUUCUUUAAUUGGGAAGAAAAGGAAGGUGAAUCCAUGUUGAGCUGAGCUAGUUUUUCGUUGGAAUAUACGUUGCACAUUUAUGGCGAUUCUGAGUGUGAGGGCAGACUUCUGCCAGGCUCAGCACAGCAUUUUCGCUGACAAGUGAGCUUGGAGGUUCUAUGUGCCAUAAUUAACAUUGCCUUGAAGACUCCUGGACACCGAGACUGGCCUCAGAAAUAGUUGGCUUUUUUUUUUUUUUAAUUGCAAGCAUAUUUCUUUUAAUGACUCCAGUAAAAUUAAGCAUCAAGUAAACAAGUGGAAAGUGACCUACACUUUUAACUUGUCUCACUAGUGCCUAAAUGUAGUAAAGGCUGCUUAAGUUUUGUAUGUAGUUGGAUUUUUUGGAGUCCGAAGGUAUCCAUCUGCAGAAAUUGAGGCCCAAAUUGAAUUUGGAUUCAAGUGGAUUCUAAAUACUUUGCUUAUCUUGAAGAGAGAAGCUUC